This 103-nucleotide non-coding RNA is filed under the name Geomicrobium sp. JCM 19039. RNAcentral describes it as "SAM riboswitch aptamer (S box leader)". It matches the Rfam family "SAM riboswitch aptamer (S box leader)". From Rfam's summary of the family: The SAM riboswitch is found upstream of a number of genes which code for proteins involved in methionine or cysteine biosynthesis in Gram-positive bacteria. The SAM riboswitch acts at the level of transcription termination control. The record is from Rfam by way of RNAcentral. RNAcentral also lists the same sequence under 1 other name. Lineage: Bacteria; Bacillati; Bacillota; Bacilli; Caryophanales.
AUCUUAUCGUGAGAGACUGAGGGAUAGGCCUAAGAAGUCUCAGCAACCAGCUCAAGGAGUCAGGUGCUAAUUCCUACUGGCAUGAUAUGCCGAGAGAUAAGAA